This 292-nucleotide ribosomal RNA is filed under the name uncultured bacterium. RNAcentral describes it as "partial 16S ribosomal RNA". It matches the Rfam family "Bacterial small subunit ribosomal RNA", at positions 505 to 796 of the family's 1533-position model. The record is from RNAcentral.
GUGUCAGCAGCCGCGGUAAUACGUAGGUGGCGAGCGUUGUCCGGAUUUACUGGGCGUAAAGGGUGCGUAGGCGGAUGUUUAAGUGGGAUGUGAAAUCCCCGGGCUUAACCUGGGGGCUGCAUUCCAAACUGGAUAUCUAGAGUGCAGGAGAGGAAAGCGGAAUUCCUAGUGUAGCGGUGAAAUGCGUAGAGAUUAGGAAGAACACCAGUGGCGAAGGCGGCUUUCUGGACUGUAACUAACGCUGAGGCACGAAAGCGUGGGUAGCAAACAGGAUUAGAAACCCGCGUAGUCC